This is a transfer RNA of Ovis aries (sheep), 72 nucleotides long. It matches the Rfam family "tRNA". Rfam says of the family: Transfer RNA (tRNA) molecules are approximately 80 nucleotides in length. The record is from Rfam. NCBI's taxonomy places the organism in Eukaryota, Metazoa, Chordata, Mammalia, Artiodactyla, Bovidae.
UCCCUGGUGGCUCAGACGGUAAAGCAUCUGCCUGCAAUGCGGGAGACCCAGGUUCAAUUCCUGGGUUGGGAA